GGUUAAGCGACUAAGCGUACACGGUGGAUGCCCUGGCAGUCAGAGGCGAUGAAGGACGUGCUAAUCUGCGAAAAGCGCCGGCGAGGUGAUAUGAACCCUUGACCCGGCGAUGUCCGAAUGGGGAAACCCAGUGCAAUCCGUUGCACUAUCGUUAACUGAAUACAUAGGUUAACGAGGCGAACCGGGGGAACUGAAACAUCUAAGUACCCCGAGGAAAAGAAAUCAACCGAGAUUCCCCCAGUAGCGGCGAGCGAACGGGGAGCAGCCCGGAGUCUGAAUCAGCUUGUGUGUUAGUGGAACGGUCUGGAAAGUCCGACGGUACAGGGUGAUAGUCCCGUACACGAAAAUGCACAUGCUGUGAACUCGAAGAGUAGGGCGGGACACGUGGUAUCCUGUCUGAAUAUGGGGGGACCAUCCUCCAAGGCUAAAUACUCCUGACUGACCGAUAGUGAACCAGUACCGUGAGGGAAAGGCGAAAAGAACCCCGGCGAGGGGAGUGAAAAAGAACCUGAAACCGUGUACGUACAAGCAGUGGGAGCCUCUUUAUGGGGUGACUGCGUACCUUUUGUAUAAUGGGUCAGCGACUUAUAUUCUGUAGCAAGGUUAACCGUAUAGGGGAGCCGAAGGGAAACCGAGUCUUAACUGGGCGUUAAGUUGCAGGGUAUAGACCCGAAACCCGGUGAUCUAGCCAUGGGCAGGUUGAAGGUUGGGUAACACUAACUGGAGGACCGAACCGACUAAUGUUGAAAAAUUAGCGGAUGACCUGUGGCUGGGGGUGAAAGGCCAAUCAAACCGGGAGAUAGCUGGUUCUCCCCGAAAGCUAUUUAGGUAGCGCCUCGUGAACUCAUCUUCGGGGGUAGAGCACUGUUUCGGCUAGGGGGCCAUCCCGGCUUACCAACCCGAUGCAAACUACGAAUACCGAAGAAUGUUAUCACGGGAGACACACGGCGGGUGCUAACGUCCGUCGUGAAGAGGGAAACAACCCAGACCGCCAGCUAAGGUCCCAAAGUCAUGGUUAAGUGGGAAACGAUGUGGGAAGGCACAGACAGCCAGGAUGUUGGCUUAGAAGCAGCCAUCAUUUAAAGAAAGCGUAAUAGCUCACUGGUCGAGUCGGCCUGCGCGGAAGAUGUAACGGGGCUAAACCAUGCACCGAAGCUGCGGCAGCGACACUUAUGUGUUGUUGGGUAGGGGAGCGUUCUGUAAGCCGUUGAAGGUGUGCUGUGAGGCAUGCUGGAGGUAUCAGAAGUGCGAAUGCUGACAUAAGUAACGAUAAAGCGGGUGAAAAGCCCGCUCGCCGGAAGACCAAGGGUUCCUGUCCAACGUUAAUCGGGGCAGGGUGAGUCGACCCCUAAGGCGAGGCCGAAAGGCGUAGUCGAUGGGAAACAGGUUAAUAUUCCUGUACUUGGUGUUACUGCGAAGGGGGGACGGAGAAGGCUAUGUCAGCCGGGCGACGGUUGUCCCGGUUUAAGCAUGUAGGCGGAGGUUCCAGGUAAAUCCGGUACCUUGUUAACGCUGAGGUGUGAUGACGAGGCACUACGGUGCUGAAGUGAUAAAUGCCCUGCUUCCAGGAAAAGCCUCUAAGCAUCAGGUAACACGAAAUCGUACCCCAAACCGACACAGGUGGUCAGGUAGAGAAUACCAAGGCGCUUGAGAGAACUCGGGUGAAGGAACUAGGCAAAAUGGUGCCGUAACUUCGGGAGAAGGCACGCUGAUGUGUAGGUGAAGCCCCUGCGGGUGGAGCUGAAAUCAGUCGAAGAUACCAGCUGGCUGCAACUGUUUAUUAAAAACACAGCACUGUGCAAACACGAAAGUGGACGUAUACGGUGUGACGCCUGCCCGGUGCCGGAAGGUUAAUUGAUGGGGUUAGCGGCAACGCGAAGCUCUUGAUCGAAGCCCCGGUAAACGGCGGCCGUAACUAUAACGGUCCUAAGGUAGCGAAAUUCCUUGUCGGGUAAGUUCCGACCUGCACGAAUGGCGUAAUGAUGGCCAGGCUGUCUCCACCCGAGACUCAGUGAAAUUGAACUCGCUGUGAAGAUGCAGUGUACCCGCGGCAAGACGGAAAGACCCCGUGAACCUUUACUAUAGCUUGACACUGAACACUGGUCCUUGAUGUGUAGGAUAGGUGGGAGGCUUUGAAGCGUGGACGCCAGUCUGCGUGGAGCCAACCUUGAAAUACCACCCUUUAAUGGCUGGUGUUCUAACGUAGACCCGUAAUCCGGGUUGCGGACAGUGUCUGGUGGGUAGUUUGACUGGGGCGGUCUCCUCCCAAAGAGUAACGGAGGAGCACGAAGGUUGGCUAAUCCUGGUCGGACAUCAGGAGGUUAGUGCAAUGGCAUAAGCCAGCUUGACUGCGAGCGUGACGGCGCGAGCAGGUGCGAAAGCAGGUCAUAGUGAUCCGGUGGUUCUGAAUGGAAGGGCCAUCGCUCAACGGAUAAAAGGUACUCCGGGGAUAACAGGCUGAUACCGCCCAAGAGUUCAUAUCGACGGCGGUGUUUGGCACCUCGAUGUCGGCUCAUCACAUCCUGGGGCUGAAGUAGGUCCCAAGGGUAUGGCUGUUCGCCAUUUAAAGUGGUACGCGAGCUGGGUUUAGAACGUCGUGAGACAGUUCGGUCCCUAUCUGCCGUGGGCGCUGGAGAAUUGAGGGGGGCUGCUCCUAGUACGAGAGGACCGGAGUGGACGCAUCACUGGUGUUCGGGUUGUCAUGCCAAUGGCACUGCCCGGUAGCUAAAUGCGGAAGAGAUAAGUGCUGAAAGCAUCUAAGCACGAAACUUGCCCCGAGAUGAGUUCUCCCUGAGACUUUAAGUCUCCUGAAGGAACGUUGAAGACGACGACGUUGAUAGGUCGGGUGUGUAAGCGCAGCGAUGCGUUGAGCUAACCGAUACUAAUGAACCGUGAGGCUUAACCUU
This 2906-nucleotide ribosomal RNA is filed under the name Enterobacter hormaechei. Its description in RNAcentral is "23S ribosomal RNA". It matches the Rfam family "Bacterial large subunit ribosomal RNA". The record is from RNAcentral. Lineage: Bacteria; Pseudomonadati; Pseudomonadota; Gammaproteobacteria; Enterobacterales; Enterobacteriaceae.